RNAcentral lists this ribosomal RNA (800 nucleotides) under uncultured bacterium. Its description in RNAcentral is "bacterial SSU rRNA". It matches the Rfam family "Bacterial small subunit ribosomal RNA", at positions 8 to 802 of the family's 1533-position model. The record is from RNAcentral.
AGAGUUUGAUCCUGGCUCAGAAUGAACGCUGGCGGCGUGUUUAAGACAUGCAAGUCGCACGGGGGAAUGUGAGUAGCAAUACAAGCAUUCUUCAGUGGCGCACGGGUGCGUAACACGUGAGUUACAUGCCCUGCAGAGGGGGAUAGCCCAGGGAAACUUGGAUUAAUACCCCAUGGUCUCGCAAGAGUAAAGGUGGCGCAAGCUGCCGCUGCAGGAUUGGCUCGCGGCCUAUCAGCUAGUUGGUGAGGCAACGGCUCACCAAGGCUACGACGGGUACCUGGUCUGAGAGGACGAUCAGGCACACUGGAACUGAGACACGGUCCAGACACCUACGGGUGGCAGCAGUCGAGAAUCAUUCACAAUGGGGGCAACCCUGAUGGUGCAACGCCGCGUGGAGGAUGAAGGUCUUCGGAUUGUAAACUCCUGUCAUCUAGGAGCAAGGCAUGGUGGUGAAUAGCCAACAUGAUUGAUAGUACUAGAAGAGGAAGGGACGGCUAACUUCGUGCCAGCAGCCGCGGUAAUACGAAGGUCCCGAGCGUUAUUCGGAAUCACUGGGCGUAAAGGGAGCGUAGGCGGCGUGGAAAGUCAGAUGUGAAAUCCCGGGGCUCAACCCCGGAACUGCAUCCGAUACUACCAUGCUAGAGUAUUGGAGGGGUAACUGGAAUUCUCGGUGUAGCAGUGAAAUGCGUGGAUAUCGAGAGGAACACCUGUGGCGAAAGCGAGUUACUGGACAAUUACUGACGCUGAGGCUCGAAGGCUAGGGGAGCAAAAGGGAUUAGAUACCCCUGUAGUCCUAGCAG